Molecule: transfer RNA, 68 nt
Filed under: Chinavia ubica
Lineage: Eukaryota; Metazoa; Arthropoda; Insecta; Hemiptera; Pentatomidae
Also listed under: 1 other name
Description: tRNA-Phe
Rfam family: tRNA
About the family: Transfer RNA (tRNA) molecules are approximately 80 nucleotides in length. Their secondary structure includes four short double-helical elements and three loops (D, anti-codon, and T loops). Further hydrogen bonds mediate the characteristic L-shaped molecular structure. tRNAs have two regions of fundamental functional importance: the anti-codon, which is responsible for specific mRNA codon recognition, and the 3' end, to which the tRNAs corresponding amino acid is attached (by aminoacyl-tRNA synthetases). tRNAs cope with the degeneracy of the genetic code in two manners: having more than one tRNA (with a specific anti-codon) for a particular amino acid; and 'wobble' base-pairing, i.e. permitting non-standard base-pairing at the 3rd anti-codon position.
Source: RNAcentral
ACUUGAAUAGCUUAAAUUUUAAAGCUUAACUCUGAAGAAGUUAUAAUAGGAUAUAAUCCUUUCAGGUA